AGAGUAGAAAUUCAUUUUACAAGUGGUGGACAACUAAAGGAGAUCUGUCUCCAGCUGAUCAAAGGGAAGGUUAAAAGAACCUGAAGCCAGACAAAUUCAGAUCCGAAGUACAAUAAACACCUCUGGAUCACCUACGGCAAAAGUUCAUUCAUUCCAAGAAGAUUUCAGCCAGACUCAGCAGCAGUACAGAGGAGCCCCUCGACUGCCCCUCAUCACCAUAUGAAAGAGGACAGAAAGCAUGUGUCUACCUUACUGAUUGGCGUGUUGCACAGACAGAAGGACUGGGGCUCAAUUUGCUGCGGUGUGCCAUGGUUCUUGGAUCACAGAGCUAUACCGUCUCUUUCCUGGUGAUGAAGUUCACACUAGCUGCAAGUGUAGGCAUGCAUCAUGCAAGCAUAAAGAGCUAAUUGUUGUAGGACCUUACACUCACAUUACAAAGAGGGUGUAUGUGUUCCUCCAGUACACUGCUUCAUCCGUGGUUCCACCAGGAGAGUAAAGAAGUCACACAAAUUCAUUGUACCUAUCUGUGUUUACUGCAUGACUGCAAACACAGGUGCUAUGUUUCAAAGACUCCUAAGCAAUAAGAUUUCAGAAGAUGUUUUAUAAAUGGGGAAGCGAUCAACAUUAUGAAGUUUGUAACUGACACAGGUAUGUGAUGAAAAGUUCAAAGAUGAAGUAAUUUCACUUGUGUUAUGCCACUGAUGGCACUAACUUACAGAGCAAGUUUUUGUCUCAGAUACUCCAAAGCAGCUCUAGUUGACUACAGCAUGCGCACACAGUCUAGGAUGUAGCCUUUAGCUAUUGAAACUUCUGGGGGCUGUUUUUGGUUUUGUUCCAUUUUACUAUUGGAGGCAGCAAAAUGAAUUCUGACCUGGGCUCUAGAGCAAUGUCUUUGGGCUGUGACACUGGGGCAAAGCAAGAGUUACAAGAAAACAGAAUUUAAAAGACGGUGUGUUCAAUGCACUGACUCUCUCUGGUUAUGUAUUCACUCAGUAAUCAAUGAACAACAGAGAAACUCUCAACAUGAGUAUAAAGAUGUCAGAAUCAGUUCCUUAAUCUUGAUGCGGUUUAAAUAUUACUUCUGGCUAAGUAUUACAUCUGAACCAAUCACAUAAUUUGAGCUUACAGCAAGAGUUUGUUCCUGAGCUGAUUCAUGUCAGUUUUAUACUUGUAAACAUCUUUUGAUUUCAGUGGCGUUAAUUCAUAUUUUCAAUAACUCAAUGAGAACAGAAUAUGGAGUAGAGUCUUAAAGUGUCUUUUCAGAACAGCCAGGGAACUCCCUUGGCACAUGAAGAAAAAUUGCUAUUGUCAGUAUCAGAGACAAAAAAUGAAACCAGUCAGGAUACAGUAGGAGUCUUCACUGAAACUAAUACAGAGGUGAAAUGCACAGCUCCUUGAAUGAGAUCAUCUCCUUGAAAGUCAGUAUUGUACAGUACAUGAAGGCUGUUAUUGCAUUGCUCUUUCCGCAUAAGAUAGGGUGUAUAAGCUAAGCAUUGCAUGCAAGGGCCAAGACACUAAACUAAUUUUACUAAGAUCCAUUUAUGUUAAAUCAAAGAAGAGGGUAGAUUUGAAAAAGAAGGUGCAAAUAGUAUAUUUCUAAUAUCUUCUCUGUCAAAAAUUAUCUGAGUUUAAGAGAAAGGAAGAAAUAAGAACUGGGAGGUUGAUGGAAGGUUAAAACAUUCACAAAACAAACUUGAUUUAUUCAAGCUUUUCGAAGUCCCAAGAAACAUGUUUAAUGGGAGCUGAAAGACUUGCAAAGAAACCUUAUUGUGGUGCACAGCAAAAUAAUGUGGAAAAAAAACCCCCUCCAUAUUUCUUCAGCCUCUAGCUUAGCUCUCACUGUAGGGAAUCUUGCUGUGAAGAGAUUAAUCACUGCUGCUUAAUAGUAUCUCUGCUGGUUGCUCCAGGAUAGCAACUAGCACAUAAUGCAGCAGAUGCAUUCUUCUUUUAGUAUGGCACCUAGCGUACUGUGAAUGUGCCAAAGGGAUUUCAAACUUGCCUUACCUUACUUACAAGUUGUGCAGUUGGUGCACAACUGACCAGCAGAUGCUGGAAGCACAUUACUUGGCUCUCCAGAGGGCACAGAUUCUGGAGGAGGAUGAAAUAGUUUCUUUUGUCCCCUCUCCCUGCUUUUGUUUUAUGGAGGAAGCAAAGGAACUGCCUCCUACAAAUCUAGCUAGCUACCAGGCUACUUCUAGAACUAGGUCUCAAAGAUUUUCCCUCUUCUGAAGCUAGUCCUUACUGAAACUUCAUUAGGGAUUUUGGCUUCUCGUCUUGAUCUCACUCUU
Long non-coding RNA from Aquila chrysaetos chrysaetos, 2288 nucleotides. RefSeq lists it as uncharacterized. The transcript has 3 exons. The record is from RefSeq and is a predicted model, not a curated record. Lineage: Eukaryota; Metazoa; Chordata; Aves; Accipitriformes; Accipitridae.